CAUCUCUUCAAUUCCGUAGUGCAUUGCAGUGUUUGAUUUAGCAAUCUGCAAGCAGUGCGGAAGUGAGGAGAUGCU
This 75-nucleotide microRNA precursor is filed under the name Agrilus planipennis (emerald ash borer). Its description in RNAcentral is "mir-932 microRNA precursor family". It matches the Rfam family "mir-932 microRNA precursor family". Lineage: Eukaryota; Metazoa; Arthropoda; Insecta; Coleoptera; Buprestidae. The record is from Rfam by way of RNAcentral.